This 693-nucleotide ribosomal RNA is filed under the name Careproctus rastrinus. Its description in RNAcentral is "partial 16S rRNA". The stretch from base 1 to 443 matches the Rfam family "Bacterial large subunit ribosomal RNA", at positions 705 to 1298 of the family's 2925-position model. The record is from RNAcentral. Lineage: Eukaryota; Metazoa; Chordata; Actinopteri; Perciformes; Liparidae.
GUUUGAUACCCCGAAACUACGUGAGCUACUUCAAGACAGCCUAUUAAUAGGGCUAACCCAUCUCUGUGGCAAAAGCGUGGGAAGAACUUUGAGUAGAGGUGACAAACCUACCGAACCUAGUUAUAGCUGGUUGUCCAAGAAAUGAAUAAAAGUUCAGCCUCUAAGCUUCUCCUUUCACCUGAACUUAACCCCUUUAGAUGUAUUAAAGAAACUAAGAAAGUUAGUCAAAGGAGGUACAGCUCCUUUAAAUCAAGACACAACUUUAACAGGCGGGUAAAGAUCAUAAUAACCAAAGCUAGACAUUCUGGUGGGCCUAAAAGCAGCCAUCCCUUAGAAAGCGUUAAAGCUCAAACAUAUUACUUAUACCUUCUUAUCCUGAUCAAUAAAUCUCACCCCCCUAACCAUACUGGACCCUCCCAUGCCCCCAUGGGUGUGAUUAUGCUAAUAUGAGUAAUAAGAGAGCCCGCCUCUCUCCCUGCACACGUGUACCUCGGAACAGACAACCCACCGACCAUUAACGACCCCAAACAAAGAGGGCAAUAAAUCAUAAACUAAAAUCAAGUAAAACAUUUAAAAAUUAACCGUUAACCCCACACAGGUGUACCCCAAGGAAAGACCUAAAGAAAGAGAAGGAACUCGGCAAACACAUAAAGUCUCGCCUGUUUACCAAAAACAUCGCCUCUUGUACCCCCC